CUCCUACGGGAGGCAGCAGUGGGGAAUAUUGCACAAUGGGCGGAAGCCUGAUGCAGCAACGCCGCGUGCGGGAUGACGGCCUUCGGGUUGUAAACCGCUUUCGCCUGUGACGAAGCGUGAGUGACGGUAAUGGGUAAAGAAGCACCGGCUAACUACGUGCCAGCAGCCGCGGUGAUACGUAGGGUGCGAGCGUUGUCCGGAUUUAUUGGGCGUAAAGGGCUCGUAGGUGGUUGAUCGCGUCGGAAGUGUAAUCUUGGGGCUUAACCCUGAGCGUGCUUUCGAUACGGGUUGACUUGAGGAAGGUAGGGGAGAAUGGAAUUCCUGGUGGAGCGGUGGAAUGCGCAGAUAUCAGGAGGAACACCAGCGGCGAAGGCGGUUCUCUGGGCCUUUCCUGACGCUGAGGAGCGAAAGCGUGGGGAGCGAACAGGCUUAGAUACCCUGGUAGUCCACGCUGUAAACGGUGGGUACUAGGUGUGGGGUCCAUUCCACGGGUUCCGUGCCGUAGCUAACGCUUUAAGUACCCCGCCUGGGGAGUACGGCCGCAAGGCUAAAACUCAAAGGAAUUGACGGGGCCCCGCACAAGCGGCGGAGCAUGCGGAUUAAUUCGAUGCAACGCGUAGAACCUUACCUGGGUUUGACAUGGAUCGGGAGCGCUCAGAGAUGGGUGUGCCUCUUUUGGGGUCGGUUCACAGGUGGUGCAUGGCUGUCGUCAGCUCGUGUCGUGAGAUGUUGGGUUAAGUCCCGCAACGAGCGCAACCCUUGUCAUUAGUUGCUACGAAAGGGCACUCUAAUGAGACUGCCGGUGACAAACCGGAGGAAGGUGGGGAUGACGUCAGGUCCUCAUGGCCCUUAUGGGUAGGGCUACACACGUCAUACAAUGGCCGGUACAGAGGGCUGCCAACCCGCGAGGGGGAGCCAAUCCCAGAAAACCGGUCGUAGUCCGGAUCGCAGUCUGCAACUCGACUGCGUGAAGUCGGAAUCGCUAGUAAUCGCGGAUCAGAAUGCCGCGGUGAAUACGUUCCCGGGCCUUGUACACACCGCCCGU
RNAcentral lists this ribosomal RNA (1045 nucleotides) under uncultured Propionibacteriales bacterium. RNAcentral's name for it is "bacterial SSU rRNA". It matches the Rfam family "Bacterial small subunit ribosomal RNA", at positions 336 to 1397 of the family's 1533-position model. The record is from RNAcentral. Lineage: Bacteria; Bacillati; Actinomycetota; Actinomycetes; Propionibacteriales.